Molecule: non-coding RNA, 1176 nt
Organism: Triticum urartu
Lineage: Eukaryota; Viridiplantae; Streptophyta; Magnoliopsida; Poales; Poaceae
Source: RefSeq, a predicted model, not a curated record
ACAGCCGGCAAGGGGGAGGCGGCCCUGUGUCUUGGAUUCUUGAGGGCCGAAUCGGCUCGUAAUUUUUUCAGAAGGGCCAGGGGGAGCCGGCUAGGCUACCCAUGGUUAUUUACUCCGACAACUUGUUUCCAGGGUAGAUAGUUUAAGUUCUUUAUGCGGUUUUAAUAGCCUUUUUUUAAUCAGGAAUGAAUGAUCCAUGUCAAAAGCACGAUCUUAUGAACUUGUUAUUUUUGCACUAAGCAUUUAUGCAUGACACAAAGGAAAAACAUGCAUGUACAUUCUGUGGCAUAUGUUGUGCACCAGAUUCUUAAAUUGGCACUUAAUGUAGUUAUGUAGGUGGUUAUCAGUCAUCACCAUAGCAAACGGUGGCCGAUCACAGGGCUUGCUACUCUAACCAGCUAACUUUCUGCACAUCAUGUGCAAGAAGCAGCGAUAAUGGAGCUAAUCUUGUCCAAGUUAAUACACAUUAUACCAUGAGUGCAUGUUUCAGUCAUGGGCAGGGACAGUCCACACACUUGCAUAUAUAUAUUUCGGAUAAACUAGAAAAAUUUUGCGUCUUGAUUUUAUGAUAUAUAGAAACAACCUAUGUACACCAGGCCUACAAAUAGGCCAACACGGCAACAUCGUAUGCGCACCCCUAAGAAAACUAAGCUCUGCUGGUAGUAACGCCUGUAGGCCAGUUGCCCCUGCCUUAGCCCAGAAUCCUGACUCUGCACGUAUACUGACGAGCAGCGUAGCGAUAUCAGGUCUAUAAGUCUAUUGAUGUUUAAGACGGCAGCGUUUCACUGCUUCCAAAUCCACCAUGCUGUGAGCAUUAUCAACGAGGUUCCCUACCAUCCGAUGGAUCCUCGAGAGGAAACAGCAUCCAACGGAGGGCGGUUACAAUAUGCAUAGGCAUACAAAAUGCAGGAAUAGUGUAGUGAAAACUGCUCAUUUUCAGUGUGUGUCGCCAGUGGAGCUAACACAGCAUGCAUGACCUUCUCUCCCUUCCCUAUCGCAGUAGCUCAGCUGAAGGUUUAUAUCUCCAUGUUAUUAUUCUUCACGUUGGAGCUAGCGUUUGAGGCUACCACUAUAAGCUUUGGUUUUAAUAAUACGAGUUUCUAAAUAUCGGUCCAUACACUCAGUUUGAUACCGAUUUGGCACAUCCUUUUGUAUUUUUGUUUCCAGACAUGCUGG